CAAGAAUGCAGCUAGAAUCGAGCCCAACAGCGAGUGCAUUUAGCCACACAAUCACCUUUGCAAUCGACAUUGUAGCCUAAAACUUUUGGAUUUCGAAGAAGCAAAUUUCUCAGAGUUUUACCUUCAAUUCCCCAUUGUUUUUCCAGAAUUUCGACAUUGGUUUUCAUUUCAUCUUCAAGGCUACAUCCAAGAACUUCUGGGAAUUUCUUGACAAGUUUAGUGAGAUCAUCAUCAGUAAGGCUUAAACUCCUUAGAUAAUCCAGUAUCUCGUUCACAACUUCUAGUCGUGGAACCUCUUUCUUCCGUUCUUCAUACCAGUAAGGCGAAUGUAUGUGGCCAAAUGCUUUUCCUAAUAUUUUGUCUUCUUCCUCUGGGCUAAAUUUUAACGCAGAAAGAGCUUGUCUGCUAUCGUUCCACGUUUUCUUCUCUUCUUCAGUUAAUACUAUAUUGUCAG
This 454-nucleotide unclassified non-coding RNA is filed under the name Hevea brasiliensis (rubber tree). Lineage: Eukaryota; Viridiplantae; Streptophyta; Magnoliopsida; Malpighiales; Euphorbiaceae. The record is from RNAcentral.